AACAGGAUUAGAUACCCUGGUAGUCCACGCCGUAAACGUUGGGAACUAGAUGUAGGGACCAUUCCACGGUUUCUGUGUCGCAGCUAACGCAUUAAGUUUCCCGCCUGGGGAGUACGGUCGCAAGACUAAAACUCAAAGGAAUUGACGGGGGCCCGCACAAGCGGCGGAGCAUGCGGAUUAAUUCGAUGCAACGCGAAGAACCUUACCAAGGCUUGACAUAUAGAGGAAACGUGCAGAAAUGUACGCCCCGCAAGGUCUCUAUACAGGUGGUGCAUGGUUGUCGUCAGCUCGUGUCGUGAGAUGUUGGGUUAAGUCCCGCAACGAGCGCAACCCUCGUCCUAUGUUGCCAGCACGUAAUGGUGGGAACUCAUGGGAGACUGCCGGGGUCAACUCGGAGGAAGGUGGGGAUGACGUCAAAUCAUCAUGCCCCUUAUGUCUUGGGCUUCACGCAUGCUACAAUGGCCGGUACAAAGGGCUGCGAUACCGUAAGGUGGAGCGAAUCCCAAAAAGCCGGUCUCAGUUCGGAUUGAGGUCUGCAACUCGACCUCAUGAAGUUGGAGUCGCUAGUAAUCGUGGAUCAGCAACGCCACGGUGAAUACGUUCCCGGGCCUUGUACACACCGCCCGUCAAGUCAUGAAAGUCGGUAACACCCGAAGCCAGUGGCCCAACCGCAAGGAGGGAGCUGUCGAAGGUGGGAUCGGUGAUUAGGACUAAGUCGUAACAAGGUAACC
This 731-nucleotide ribosomal RNA is filed under the name uncultured bacterium. RNAcentral describes it as "bacterial SSU rRNA". It matches the Rfam family "Bacterial small subunit ribosomal RNA", at positions 771 to 1501 of the family's 1533-position model. The record is from RNAcentral.